GGAAGGCAAAAUACGCGNGACGGAGCAAAACCCUAAAAAGACUGUCUCAGUUCAGAUUGCAGGCUGCAACCCGCCUGCAUGAAGUCGGAAUUGCUAGUAAUCGCGGAUCAGCAUGCCGCGGUGAAUACGUUCCCGGGCCUUGUACACACCGCCCGUCACACCAUGAGAGCCGUCAAUGCCCGAAGUCCGUAGCCUAACCGAAAGGAGGGCGCGGCCGAAGGCAGGGGUGGUAAUUAGGGUGAAGUCGUAACAAGGUAUC
Molecule: ribosomal RNA, 259 nt
Filed under: uncultured bacterium
Lineage: Bacteria
Description: partial 16S ribosomal RNA
Rfam family: Bacterial small subunit ribosomal RNA
Source: RNAcentral